GCGACGCGACCGGUCCGCCACCCAUGACGUCUUGAGAAGUCCACUGAACCUUAUCAUUUAGAGGAAGGAGAAGUUGUAACAAGGUUUCCGUAGGUGAACCUACGGAAGGAUCAUUG
This 116-nucleotide ribosomal RNA is filed under the name Plectocomia mulleri. RNAcentral describes it as "partial 18S ribosomal RNA". It matches the Rfam family "Eukaryotic small subunit ribosomal RNA", at positions 1717 to 1831 of the family's 1831-position model. The record is from RNAcentral. Lineage: Eukaryota; Viridiplantae; Streptophyta; Magnoliopsida; Arecales; Arecaceae.